RNAcentral lists this transfer RNA (86 nucleotides) under Dipodomys ordii (Ord's kangaroo rat). It matches the Rfam family "tRNA". Rfam says of the family: Transfer RNA (tRNA) molecules are approximately 80 nucleotides in length. The record is from Rfam by way of RNAcentral. Lineage: Eukaryota; Metazoa; Chordata; Mammalia; Rodentia; Heteromyidae.
GGAGGCAUGGCUCAAGUGAUAGAGUACCUUGCUAGCAAGAAAGCCUAUCAAGCGCAAGGUCCUGGGUUCAAAUCCUAGUUCCACCA